AGGAUCAUUAUUGAAUGAACGUGGUGUGGUUGUUGCUGGCUCUCUUGUGGGGGCAUGUGCACACCCGCCAUCCUCAUCUCUCCACCUGUGCACCUCUUGUAGACCUGGAUGAAUUUUCCGAGGUAACUCGGUCGGGAGGAAUGCUGCGCUCUUUGCGUCGGCUUUCUUUGCACUUCCAAGCCUACGUUUUUUUCAUAUACCCGUAGUAUGUAACAGAAUGUAUCAUUGGGCCUAAGUGCCUAUAAACCUUAUACAACUUUCAGCAACGGAUCUCUUGGCUCUCGCAUCGAUGAAGAACGCAGCGAAAUGCGAUAAGUAAUGUGAAUUGCAGAAUUCAGUGAAUCAUCGAAUCUUUGAACGCACCUUGCGCUCCUUGGUAUUCCGAGGAGCAUGCCUGUUUGAGUGUCAUUUAAUUCUCAACCUUAUUAGCUUUUGUUGAUAAUGGCUUGGAUGUGGGGGUUUUCUUUUGCUGGCUUUCUUCGGAUGUCAGCUCCCCUUAAAUGUAUUAGCCGGUGCCCUGCGUGGACUAUCCGUUGGUGUGAUAAUUAUCUACGCCGUUGGAUGUCUGCAAAUAGGUUUUGCACUGCUUCUAACUGUCUGUUCAUUUGGACAAUACAUGACAAUUUGACCU
This 631-nucleotide ribosomal RNA is filed under the name Hymenogaster citrinus. Its description in RNAcentral is "eukaryotic LSU rRNA". The stretch from base 255 to 408 matches the Rfam family "5.8S ribosomal RNA". Lineage: Eukaryota; Fungi; Basidiomycota; Agaricomycetes; Agaricales; Hymenogastraceae. The record is from RNAcentral.